GGAGGCGUUCCUCGUCUGGUGACGGGCGCGGUCUUCAAAACCGUAGUGGUCGAGCAUCUCGGCCAGGCGGGUUCGAUUCCCGUCCGCCUCCGC
This 93-nucleotide transfer RNA is filed under the name Georgenia halotolerans. RNAcentral's name for it is "tRNA-Sec". It matches the Rfam family "Selenocysteine transfer RNA". The record is from RNAcentral. Lineage: Bacteria; Bacillati; Actinomycetota; Actinomycetes; Allobogoriellales; Allobogoriellaceae.